This 428-nucleotide ribosomal RNA is filed under the name Actinomycetes bacterium. RNAcentral's name for it is "Actinobacteria bacterium partial 16S ribosomal RNA". It matches the Rfam family "Bacterial small subunit ribosomal RNA", at positions 355 to 776 of the family's 1533-position model. The record is from RNAcentral. Lineage: Bacteria; Bacillati; Actinomycetota; Actinomycetes.
UAGGGAAUCUUCCGCAAUGGGCGAAAGCUUGACGGAGCAACGCCGCGUGAGUGAUGAAGGUCUUCGGAUCGUAAAACUCUGUUAUUAGGGAAGAACAAAUGUGUAAGUAACUAUGCACGUCUUGACGGUACCUAAUCAGAAAGCCACGGCUAACUACGUGCCAGCAGCCGCGGUAAUACGUAGGUGGCAAGCGUUAUCCGGAAUUAUUGGGCGUAAAGCGCGCGUAGGCGGUUUUUUAAUCUGAUGUGAAAGCCCACGGCUCAACCGUGGAGGGUCAUUGGAAACUGGAAAACUUGAGUGCAGAAGAGGAAAGUGGAAUUCCAUGUGUAGCGGUGAAAUGCGCAGAGAUAUGGAGGAACACCAGUGGCGAAGGCGACUUUCUGGUCUGUAACUGACGCUGAUGUGCGAAAGCGUGGGGAUCAAACAGG